CCUACGGGGGGCAGCAGUGAGGAAUAUUGGUCAAUGGGCGCGAGCCUGAACCAGCCAAGUAGCGUGAAGGAUGACUGCCCUACGGGUUGUAAACUUCUUUUAUAAAGGAAUAAAGUGAGGCACGUGUGCCUUUUUGUAUGUACUUUAUGAAUAAGGAUAGGCCAACUCCGUGCCAGCAGCAGCGGUAAUACGGAGGAUCCGAGCGUUAUCCGGAUUUAUUGGGUUUAAAGGGAGCGUAGAUGGGUUGUUAAGUCAGUUGUGAAAGUUUGCGGCUCAACCGUAAAAUUGCAAUUGAUACUGGCAGUCUUGAGUACAGUUGAGGUAGGCAGAAUUCGUGGUGUAGCGGUGAAAUGCUUAGAGAUCACGAAGAACUCCGAUUGCGAAGGCAGCUUACUAGACUGCCACUGACAUUGAUGCUCGAAAGUGUGGGUAGCAAACAGGAUUAGAUACCCUAGUAGUC
RNAcentral lists this ribosomal RNA (460 nucleotides) under uncultured bacterium. RNAcentral's name for it is "partial 16S ribosomal RNA". It matches the Rfam family "Bacterial small subunit ribosomal RNA", at positions 338 to 795 of the family's 1533-position model. The record is from RNAcentral.